Long non-coding RNA from Diabrotica virgifera virgifera (western corn rootworm), 2500 nucleotides. RefSeq lists it as uncharacterized. The record is from RefSeq and is a predicted model, not a curated record. Lineage: Eukaryota; Metazoa; Arthropoda; Insecta; Coleoptera; Chrysomelidae. The transcript has 2 exons.
CAUAAUUUCAUAAUAUAUUCUUUAAUAAUACUCUAAUUUAUUACAAAAAUACCUAAAAUACUAUAAAUAAAUAUUAUUUUACAACAUGCAAUAUGUAUAGGUACUAUAACUAUUUUAUUUCUAAAAUAAAGCAUUUGUACAAAAUAAUUACAAAAAUCUUAAAACUAAAUGUGGUUCUAAAUCCUUUGUGAAUUUAUUUUAAAUCAGUUAAUUUCAUUAUCGAUAACAAUAUUGUUAUUGUGAUCUACUAAUGACAUACCGUAAAACUGGUCUAUUUGAAAAUAGCGGGGUAACUUGAAAAUAAACGCAAUAACCUUUUUAAGUAAGUGCUGUCACUGAACGAUUCGCCCGAUUUAAUCGUAUCCAGUGCCACUUGAAAAGGCAUGCCUGCCCACGACUUAUCAUUGAUGUUUAUGCUCUCUGUGUUUACCUAACGAUUACGACGAUUUUUAAAAACCGUGUUUUUUAUCGAUUUUAACGAAACUCAGACACAAUAGGUUUUUAUUUAAUUUUGCUAUUUCAAGUAUCCCCUACAAAGGGCCUAUUUGAAAUACUACGUUUUUAAAGGCUUACUUUCAAGUAACCCCAUCGAAAGGCUACUUGAAAAUUAACAAUUAAUAUUUUUUUAAAUGGAGAAGUAAAAACACUUUUUAAUAAGGAAAAAUUAUCUAUAGACUAUUUCGACCAUCACAAUAAUUUUUAAUUUCAAAAAUACCUUUAACUUAUUUGGUGGCAGAACGAAGUUUCAAAAAAAUUUUAUCAAGUUUUACGAUACUGUACCUUUAUUUUCUCUAUAACAAAUAAAAAUUUAGCUAUUCAAAAAUAAUUAAAGCCACAGAAAGUUUCUCUUCAAAAAAAAAUAACAAAAGCAACAAAAAAAAAUAACAAAAGCAACAAAAAAAAGAAGGAAAUCCUGAUUAAAGUGUCAAUAGCACUUGAUUUUGAAUAGGAUGAAAACGAAUGAAUGAAGAUAGAUGGCCAAAGAAAGCUUUAUAUUACAUACCACAACAAAGAAGAAAAAGGGAAAUGCCUUCUGGGAAGAAAACGUACGGCACAUAAUGAGAGAUAGAGCCAUCAAAGAAGACGAAUGGAUGGACAGAAAAAGAUGGCGGUCGAAAUGCGAGAAGCGGCAGAGGCUGUAGGAACCUCUAGAAAUAGAUAGAUAGAUAGAUAGAUAGAUAGAUAGAUAGAUAGAUAGAUAUAUAGAUCGAUAGAUAGAUAGAUAGAUAGAUAGAUAUAUAGGGUGAAAAUAUAUUUUGGAAGUACCUCGUAUACAAAAAGUUAUCCACUCAAUGGACCGUGAUAGUCGUGACGUCAAAUCAAUGUUGGCUACUCUGAAAUGGUUUCCAAACAAAGUAAAAACUCACACAUGGUGUUUGUUUUCGUUUUUAUAAUUGAAAUCUAUUGCCUGUAGGAUGUUUAAUUUUUACAAAUUGGUAAUGUGUUGGGUAUCUACCCGUGAUUGUAUCAAUGAUCAUAGUAUAUUUCCCACCAUAUUUCCAAAUAAGACUGGUUAAAAACCUGAAGAAACACAGUAACUACUAUGUAGUGUGUAAAUCCUAGAUUUUGUGUAAGGGCAAUUUAUAAAAUUAAAAGCAAUAUGAUUGAUAUGACUAACAAGAAUUGUGUCUUUAGAAAAAAUGGGAAGAUGAUUGCUAAAACAAAAUAAAAUUAAAAAUGAUUACACAAAUCAUGUGUAUAUUCAAUUGACAGUUGCUUUGUUUGGAAACAAAAUGUUUUUUGACGUUUUGACUUCACACUAUCACUGUCCAUUAAGCUACCUAUAAAAACAAGUAUAUUCACUCUGAUAAAUUGUGAAUAUAAUGUACUAUUUAUGUACUAAAUGUUGUAAAUAGUAAUGUAUUUAAAAAUUCAUAGACAACAAACAUAUUCAUUUUGUGUGUUUAUUAUGCAAAACACAGAAAAUAAAUGUGUAGUGAUAAUAGAUACAUACAGGCGACCUCAAAACAUUAUCAAUUCGCAAAAACUAGAGAAACCCGAAUAGUAUCACAAUAAGUGCAACCAAAUAUGAUUGAACUUAUUGUAUAAAAAACUUGUUAAAAUUAUUGUCAAAAGUAACCUAAUUAAAACAAAAAUUUGAGGAUUUCUGAUAAAACGAAAAAUUAAAUUUUACUAAAGAAGAUGGAAGCUCAGAUAUAUACAUAAAACAAAUGGAAGACCAAAUCCUAGAAAAGACAGCCCAGAGACUAUGCCAGAAAGAUAAAACAAACAAUUAAUUAUGUUUGUUCAUUGGUGGACGUCUGUGGAAGAUUGUCAUUCCAUCCUCCAUCCCUUGCGUGAUCAGCCAACACUUCUUCCAUCACUUCGUGAUUUGUGCCUUUCUAGUUUAAUAACUCCUGUGUCUUUUUUUCUGUUUAAUGUUCGCACGUUUACUUUUACUUACAUUACAUUGCAUUAUAUUAAAUUUUGUUCUGAUCUAGUCACUCCUUAUUCGGUCUCUCAGCUUGUUUCUUGUACGUGAGGUACGUGAGGCACGUCC